CACAACCCUUAGUGUCACCGUUCAUACCAUCAGUUCUCAAUCUUCUCGGAUCUGAGUUCAUAUCAACCUUACCGAAAGAGUAAUCCUUAUUUUGGUUCUAUCAAGUGGUAUCAGAGCCACUCUCUCGGUAACUCUAUUAUCAUUCCAUCUUCUCAUCUCUCCAUCUUCUUCAAACACUUCUUCUUCUACCUUUCUUAAAUUCGGGCCCCUCAUUACCAUCCAUAUAUAUAUAAAAAAAAAAGAUUUACGAUUUGAUUCAAAAAAAAAAAAAAAAAAAAAAAGUUCAAAGUUUGUUUUGUGGAUUGGUGGUGGAAGAGAAAGCCUGCUGGCUGAGGAGAAAUCCAGCCUUUGAGGUGGUUAAAACGGAUUUCAAAAAUCAAAAAUCUCUUAUCUUUCUAUCUUGAGAAAAUUCCCUUGUUUGCUUGGAUUUUCCCAUUGGGAUUCUUUGAUUUGUUCUCUUAGAACAUUGAGUAAAAACUUGUGUGUGAUCACCUAAAUCUGAGAGAAACACUUUUGUGGGUGAGGAUCAAACACUUGAGAGUGUGAGGUUUUUAUCUACUAACUUUGGUGUUGAGAUUUUCCAGGUUUAUGAUGUUUGGUUUGCAAAGAAAAAGUAACAAGGAGAAGCCUCAACGAAAUUCUAACUCUCAAACUCCUUUUAAAUAUCCUUUGAAUUAUUUUGAUGAGUUUGUUAGUGUGCAGGAACAGCCAGCUGUAAGGAGAAAAACAACCAGAGAUGUGGCUGAUCCAAAAAGGCAACCCUUUCAAAUUGAUGUCCAACAAAUUUGUGAUAACCUUGUGAAGGGAGUGGACAAAGCCCUUAAGGACUUCAGCAAGAGCCAAAAGAAGAGCACAUCUACACGUGCCCCAGUAGCUGAGCCAUCCUUGUUCAUCAGUAAGAAAGCCCAAGGUGAAUCUGAAAACCAUUUUGAAGAACUUAUAGAUUUUUCAGAUUCUCUACCCAUUUUUGAUGAAUCUGAUGAAGAGCUAAUUGAAAGCUUGAUGUUUUGUGAAAAAGAUUGUGAUCUUCCUUCUCUUGAAACUGAGUUUAAUCUUGAUAAUGAACAAGCUAUUGUAGAACUAACUGUUUUGCAACCGGAGCUUCCGAGUAGUCUUGUUUUGUCUCCACAGGUUUUUGAGGAAGAGCCACUGGAUUUUCCACAUCAGUGCCCAUGUCUUGACACUAGGAUAUGUUUGGAUGAUGAUCUAGGUCCUAUCUUUGAUGAGGAGGACGAAACUGGUCCAGUCUUUGAUGAAGAAGCAACAAGCAUCACAUCCAUUGCUAUGGAGAAUUAUCUAUGCUUUGAUCCCGGCACAACUCCUGCCCCUUUACCUCCGGAUCUUCAAGAGCACUGUGAGGAACCUUCUUCUCUUAAUUCUCUGCCUGACAUGUUUGUGAAAGUCAGUACUGAUGAUGUAAUUCGUUUUGGUCUUGACAAGAUGAAAGAUUUUUUUGUUUCAAAAUCUGUUUUUGAUAACAUGAUUUAUUCUUUAAAAAUCUUUGAACCUGAUAAAUGUCUUGAUCAAUCACGUUUUCAAAGUGUCAAUGGCAUCACUUCUGGAAUUAUUUUGAGCUUUGAUCAGUUCUUGGAACAUAACAAAGGUUUUCAUCUUCUUGGAAGGCCAUUUGAUCUUGAUUUGCAACAAACUGAUUUUUGUGCUGAAAAAUCUCUUGAUUCGUUAGUUUGCAAAGGAAAUAGCUUUGAUCUGAGUUCUUCUAGACAUGUACUGAUCACUGAUGAAUUGUUUGCAUCCUCUUAUGCCUUGGACGAAAUUUUGAUUCAGAAGUUGCUGGAACAGAAAUCACUUGAAACUGAAAAUGAUUUUCGUGAUCUUGAAUUUUGUGGUUCUGUUUUGCAGCCUGAUCUCUUGAGUUUUGAAACUGAUAAUACUUGGCAUUUUCUGAGAUCAUUUCGUGAUAAUGGUGUUGUCUUGAGUUCUGAUGAUAUUUUGGUUUACAACACAUUCUUUGAGAAAUGCCUUGAACUUUUGAUAAAUGAUUCUCAAACUGAACUUAAGCUUGUGUGUUCAGAUGUUGGGAAGGAUAUGCCCAUUUUGAAAAUGAAUACUGUUGUUGCAUAUCUUGAUAAAAUUCUUGUCUGUAAUAUUUACUUUGAUGAGCACCUUGAAAGGCUGAAAAAUGUGCAAUUUGUUCUUGGAAAAGAUAUCUUGAUUUGUGAUUUGAACAAAUAUUUAUCUUGCACAUUUGAUCCUGGUCUUUUAGUGUUUGUUUUGAGUAUCCAGGAAAGACAGGUUCAGCCUCUGAAUGAAAGCAUUGGCCGUGCCCAACAACCUCAGAUUUGGAGAAGCUUUGUUGUUCAAACCGGCUACCUUGGUGCCAGCGACAGAGGUUCAGUCCAAGAAAGAUAUCUCAACAGUACGAAGGUCUUUUGUCUUGAAUCCAAUUUUACAAGAAAGCCAACUCAUCAAGGAUUCACUGAGGCUUGGAAUCGCAUGAAAAGCUUCACGGAUGAAGAAGUUAUGAAUUUUCCAAACCGGAGGUUCUUCAGUCCAUCUAUCCGCGAGUACCAGAUUUCUAAAGGAGAUUCAUGUCCCAGAAAGAAUCGACCUGAGCCAAAACCGAUCCUCCAUGAACCAAAGGUGUUUCCUCGGUCAUUCUCCUGUCUAAACCAAAAGCACUGUAAGGAUCAUGAGUUGAUUGCCUUUACUCUUCAUGAAAAUGUUUUGAAACCGAGAAUUUCAAAAAGAAAACAUAUUCUUACUUGGUUGAAAAACGUUUUGCUCAAACCUUUUCAUGAAUUGAUUUCAUUGAGCUGUGCUUUGAAAGAGAUUUGGUGUAGGAAAAAGCAUGAACUAAAAUUGCUUAGGCCAAAGAAUUCAUUUGAUUUCGUUCAUGAUGAUAAUUUUUCAAAUUUUGCAUUGUCUCUUUCUUUCCAUAACAGUUUCUCACCUUGGCCUGAUUUUGAGAUUGAUAAAUCAAUUUUUGGCAACCAGCUUACUUGCUUAAUGCUUGCCCACGUCCUUGAUGAUUAUCCUAAGGGCAUGGAUCCUGAUUUUGAUGUCUUAAGGAUAGAGAAACCCUUUGAUUAUUUCUUUGGCAGAUUUGAUGUGGUUUCUCUAGUUGCUUUGGAUAAACAGGAUAAGCAUGAUCAGUUUCUAAGGAGAGCAAGCACCAAUGGACGCCAAAGUACUUGGAAUUCCUUGAUAAAAAUGACUUCAAAACUCCAAGGAAGUUUCUGUCCAUUCUAUUCAUUUACUGAAUUUCCCUUGAAUUUUAAUUUCUUUGUAUCUGAUUUAUCUCUUUUUGAUAUAGGUACAUUGGAUUUGAGGACAAAUCCUUUUGAAGAAAGAGGGAAUGAUAGAACGCGGUCCACGGAUCUGUACAUGGAGCCGAACCAUCAUGAAGUUCAGGACGUUCUGAAGUUUUCAACCGAGGUUCAUGAUUUUCACCAUACUGGCCAGACUGACCGGACUGUCCCAAAUGCAUCCGGAUGUGAGCUUUGGCUGGAACCAUGGCCAGAUGAUCGAUUUCACUGUACUGGACUUUGUCUUGACCGUCCUGUUUUCCAUUUGAUGAAGAACAGUCGAGACGUAAUCGCAUUCGGACGCACGGAUCCUGAGUUAGGUCAUUGCUAUACAUUUCUGGACAGUACCACAUGUACAGCCCGGAUGUCCAGUUUGAGGCUUCAUCAAUACCCAUGUCCAGACGAUCGAAUUCACCGAACUGGAGCUCGUAUUUCCCGUACUGAUUGACAUUUUAAGAGCAACGGUCGAGACAGAUUUGGAUUCGGACGAGUGGAACUCAAGAUAGGCCGUGACACUUCAAAACUGGCUACUUUGGACUGUCCUGCUUGUGUACUGGCCCAGUCCGCAGGACAUGCUUCAGGAAGCAAUGAACCUGGACGGAAUUUGAAGGGUUUUUCACUAGUCAAAGUGUGAUUUCGUGCCUUGACCAGAUCUGGUCAAUUUUAUCAUUUUCUAUGUUUAGAUUUCCCACAUUUUUCUUUAAGUCUUUUGACUAGAACUUCUAUAUAAUGUAACCAUCAGAUCUGAAUAAGAUAAUUUCGUUUUUGCUUUCAUUCUUUUGAGUUUUUACUCUCUUUGUUCUUUGUUAGAACAUUUCUUAGUUUCUUGGUGAGGUUAUCUCCAAGUUUCGAUCCUUCUUUUGUUGGACCGGUGCGUCACAUCCGGCAACGAUCGAAGUCUGGUAGUAUCUUUGGGCUAUUCCGCAACCCUUAGUGUCACCGUUCAUACCAUCAGUUCUCAAUCUUCUCGGAUCUGAGUUCAUAUCAACCUUACCGAAAGAGUGAUCCUUAUUUUGGUUCUAUCAAGUGGUAUCAGAGCCACUCUCUCGGUAACUCUAUUAUCAUUCCAUCUUCUCAUCUCUCCAUCUUCUUCAAACACUUCUUCUUCUACCUUUCUUAAAUCCGGGCCCCUCAUUACCAUCCAUAUAUAUAUAAAAAAAAGAUUUACGAUUUGAUUCAAAAAAAAAAAGAAAAAAAAAGAAAAAGUUCAAAGUUUGUUUUGUGGAUUGGUGGUGGAAGAGAAAGCCUGCUGGCUGAGGAGAAAUCCAGCCUUUGAGGUGGUUAAAACGGAUUUCAAAAAUCAAAAAUCUCUUAUCUUUCUAUCUUGAGAAAAUUCCCUUGUUUGCUUGGAUUUUCCCAUUGGGAUUCUUUGAUUUGUUCUCUUAGAACAUUGAGUAAAAACUUGUGUGUGAUCACCUAAAUCUGAGAGAAACACUUGUGUGGGUGAGGAUCAAACA
This 4723-nucleotide long non-coding RNA is filed under the name Brassica rapa (field mustard). RNAcentral describes it as "long non-coding RNA (BRAP_LNC008614)". Lineage: Eukaryota; Viridiplantae; Streptophyta; Magnoliopsida; Brassicales; Brassicaceae. The record is from RNAcentral.